This 503-nucleotide ribosomal RNA is filed under the name uncultured Glomus. RNAcentral's name for it is "SSU rRNA". It matches the Rfam family "Eukaryotic small subunit ribosomal RNA", at positions 569 to 1074 of the family's 1831-position model. Lineage: Eukaryota; Fungi; Glomeromycota; Glomeromycetes; Glomerales; Glomeraceae. The record is from RNAcentral.
AGCAGCCGCGGUAAUUCCAGCUCCAAUAGCGUAUAUUAAAGUUGUUGCAGUUAAAAAGCUCGUAGUUGAAUUUCGGGGUCAGUAGUUUGGUCGUGCCAAUGGUAUGUACUGGGCUCACUGAUUCCUCCUUCCUGAUGAACUGUAAUGCCAUUAAUUUGGUGUUGCAGGGAAACUGGACUGUUACUUUGAAAAAAUUAGAGUGUUUAAAGCAAGCUAACGCUUGAAUACAUUAGCAUGGAAUAAUGAAAUAGGACGUUCGAUCCUAUUUCGUUGGUUUCUAGGAUUGACGUAAUGAUUAAUAGGGAUAGUUGGGGGCAUUAGUAUUCAAUUGUCAGAGGUGAAAUUCUUGGAUUUAUUGAAGACUAACUACUGCGAAAGCAUUUGCCAAGGAUGUUUUCAUUAAUCAAGAACGAAAGUUAGGGGAUCGAAGACGAUCAGAUACCGUCGUAGUCUUAACCAUAAACUAUGCCGACUAGGGAUCGGAUGAUGUUAAUUUUUAAUGA